CGCGUGUGUGAAGAAGGCUUUCGGGUUGUAAAGCACUUUCAGCGAGGAAGAAGGCCUCUGGGUUAAUACCCCAGAGGAAGGACAUCACUCGCAGAAGAAGCACCGGCUAACUCCGUGCCAGCAGCCGCGGUAAUACGGAGGGUGCGAGCGUUAAUCGGAAUUACUGGGCGUAAAGCGCGCGUAGGUGGCUUGGCACGCCGGUUGUGAAAGCCCCGGGCUCAACCUGGGAACGGCAUCCGGAACGGCCAGGCUAGAGUGCAGGAGAGGAAGGUAGAAUUCCCGGUGUAGCGGUGAAAUGCGUAGAGAUCGGGAGGAAUACCAGUGGCGAAGGCGGCCUUCUGGCCUGACACUGACACUGAGGUGCGAAAGCGUGGGUAGCAAACAGGAUUAGAUACCCUGGUAGUCCACGCCGUAAACGAUGUCGACUAGCCGUUGGGACCUUUAAGGACUUAGUGGCGCAGUUAACGCGAUAAGUCGACCGCCUGGGGAGUACGGCCGCAAGGUUAAAACUCAAAUGAAUUGACGGGGGCCCGCACAAGCGGUGGAGCAUGUGGUUUAAUUCGAUGCAACGCGAAGAACCUUACCUACCCUUGACAUCCAGAGAACUUUCCAGAGAUGGAUUGGUGCCUUCGGGAACUCUGAGACAGGUGCUGCAUGGCUGUCGUCAGCUCGUGUUGUGAAAUGUUGGGUUAAGUCCCGUAACGAGCGCAACCCUUGUC
This 719-nucleotide ribosomal RNA is filed under the name Halomonas sp. S19-13. RNAcentral's name for it is "bacterial SSU rRNA". It matches the Rfam family "Bacterial small subunit ribosomal RNA", at positions 398 to 1109 of the family's 1533-position model. Lineage: Bacteria; Pseudomonadati; Pseudomonadota; Gammaproteobacteria; Oceanospirillales; Halomonadaceae. The record is from RNAcentral.